RNAcentral lists this microRNA (22 nucleotides) under Echinops telfairi (small Madagascar hedgehog). RNAcentral describes it as "Ete-Mir-148-P1_5p* (star (passenger))". Lineage: Eukaryota; Metazoa; Chordata; Mammalia; Afrosoricida; Tenrecidae. The record is from RNAcentral.
AAAGUUCUGAGACGCUCCGACU